Molecule: long non-coding RNA, 317 nt
Filed under: Capsella rubella
Lineage: Eukaryota; Viridiplantae; Streptophyta; Magnoliopsida; Brassicales; Brassicaceae
Description: long non-coding RNA (CRUB_LNC005075)
Source: RNAcentral
GGAAGAAAUCGAAAAUUUAAAGUAUAAUCAAAGAAUGAAAAAAAUAUUACGUAGUUGAGAGAUAGAUGAGAGAGAGGGAAAGAUAAGAAGAAGAAGAAGGGAAGGAGAGAGACAAAGGUUCGUGGAAGAAGAGGUGUUGUGAGCAUAUUAUUAUUAUUAUUAUUAUUUUUAUUUUUUUUUGUAAACCUUGAGAAUAUUAUCUAACACAAUGUUUUUAAGUAUAAUAUUAUCUAAUACAAAUAUUGUUAGCUCGAUACAAAUAUAACAUAAUUUCAGUAACUAUUGAUUAAUAUCUAAUUAUAAUUUUUUUAAGUCUG